RNAcentral lists this ribosomal RNA (868 nucleotides) under Rhodococcus sp. MF12_Oo. RNAcentral describes it as "bacterial SSU rRNA". It matches the Rfam family "Bacterial small subunit ribosomal RNA", at positions 35 to 918 of the family's 1533-position model. Lineage: Bacteria; Bacillati; Actinomycetota; Actinomycetes; Mycobacteriales; Nocardiaceae. The record is from RNAcentral.
GCAGNGGCGGGUGCUUACNCAUGCAGUCGAGCGGUAAGGCCUUUCGGGGUACACGAGCGGCGAACGGGUGAGUAACACGUGGGUGAUCUGCCCUGCACUUCGGGAUAAGCCUGGGAAACUGGGUCUAAUACCGGAUAUGACCUCAGGUUGCAUGACUUGGGGUGGAAAGAUUUAUCGGUGCAGGAUGGGCCCGCGGCCUAUCAGCUUGUUGGUGGGGUAAUGGCCUACCAAGGCGACGACGGGUAGCCGACCUGAGAGGGUGACCGGCCACACUGGGACUGAGACACGGCCCAGACUCCUACGGGAGGCAGCAGUGGGGAAUAUUGCACAAUGGGCGAAAGCCUGAUGCAGCGACGCCGCGUGAGGGAUGACGGCCUUCGGGUUGUAAACCUCUUUCAGCAGGGACGAAGCGCAAGUGACGGUACCUGCAGAAGAAGCACCGGCUAACUACGUGCCAGCAGCCGCGGUAAUACGUAGGGUGCAAGCGUUGUCCGGAAUUACUGGGCGUAAAGAGUUCGUAGGCGGUUUGUCGCGUCGUUUGUGAAAACCAGCAGCUCAACUGCUGGCUUGCAGGCGAUACGGGCAGACUUGAGUACUGCAGGGGAGACUGGAAUUCCUGGUGUAGCGGUGAAAUGCGCAGAUAUCAGGAGGAACACCGGUGGCGAAGGCGGGUCUCUGGGCAGUAACUGACGCUGAGGAACGAAAGCGUGGGUAGCGAACAGGAUUAGAUACCCUGGUAGUCCACGCCGUAAACGGUGGGCGCUAGGUGUGGGUUCCUUCCACGGAAUCCGUGCCGUAGCUAACGCAUUAAGCGCCCCGCCUGGGGAGUACGGCCGCAAGGCUAAAACUCAAGAAAAAAUNANCCGGA